GACGAACGCUGGCGGCGUGCUUAACACAUGCAAGUCGAACGGAAAGGCCCUGCUUUUGUGGGGUGCUCGAGUGGCGAACGGGUGAGUAACACGUGAGUAACCUGCCCUUGACUUUGGGAUAACUUCAGGAAACUGGGGCUAAUACCGGAUAGGAGCUCCUGCUGCAUGGUGGGGGUUGGAAAGUUUCGGCGGUUGGGGAUGGACUCGCGGCUUAUCAGCUUGUUGGUGGGGUAGUGGCUUACCAAGGCUUUGACGGGUAGCCGGCCUGAGAGGGUGACCGGCCACAUUGGGACUGAGAUACGGCCCAGACUCCUACGGGAGGCAGCAGUGUGGAAUAUUGCACAAUGGGCGGAAGCCUGAUGCAGCAACGCCGCGUGCGGGAUGACGGCCUUCGGGUUGUAAACCGCCUUCGCCUGUGACGAAGCGUGAGUGACGGUAAUGGGUAAAGAAGCACCGGCUAACUACGUG
Molecule: ribosomal RNA, 468 nt
Filed under: uncultured bacterium
Lineage: Bacteria
Description: partial 16S ribosomal RNA
Rfam family: Bacterial small subunit ribosomal RNA
Source: RNAcentral